CCUACGGGUGGCAGCAGUGGGGAAUAUUGCACAAUGGGGGAAACCCUGAUGCAGCGACGCCGCGUGAGUGAAGAAGUAAUUCGGUAUGUAAAGCUCUAUCAUCAGGGACGAAAAUGACGUUACCUGAGUAAGAAGCUCCGGCCAACUAUGUGCCAGCAGCCGCGGUAAUACGGAGGGGGCAAGCGUUAUCCGGAUGUACUGGGUGUAAGGGGAGCGUAGACGGCAGUGCAAGUCGGGAGUGAAAGCCGGGGGCUUAACCCCCGGACGGCUCUGGAAACUGUACGGCUGGAGUGCAGGAGAGGUAAGUGGAAUUCCUAGUGUAGCAGUGAAAUGCGUAGAUAUGAGGAAGAACACCAGUGGCGAAGGCAGCUUACUGGACUGUAACUGACGUUGAGACUCGAAAGCGUGGGGAGCAAACAGGAUUAGAUACCCGGGUAGUC
This 440-nucleotide ribosomal RNA is filed under the name uncultured bacterium. RNAcentral describes it as "partial 16S ribosomal RNA". It matches the Rfam family "Bacterial small subunit ribosomal RNA", at positions 338 to 795 of the family's 1533-position model. The record is from RNAcentral.